UCUUCCUCAUCGGUUUCUCACUGAAAACAAAACAAGAGAAAGAGAGAUCAAAAGCAUUUCACAGACUCACUCACUUUUCGAUUUUCAUUCUCUCAUUAACGAAACCGCUUCUCAGCGAUUAAGCGUAAGGGAAAAGAUAACACGGUUUAUGUGCGCGCUGAAUGAGAGUUUCCGUUUUUGCUGAACCCGAAGAAGCUUGUUCUCAGAGACAUGGCUAUGCUCCGAAAAUUGUUCUUUCGAAAACCCCCCGAUGGCCUUCUCGAGAUCUGUGAACGAGUCUAUGUAUUUGAUUGCUGCUUCACCACUGAUGCUUGGAGCGAAGAGAAUUACAAAGUUUACAUUGAUGGUAUAGUUGGUCAUCUUAGGGAGAACUUGCAAGAUGCUUCAAUUCUUGUUUUCAAUUUCAGAGAGGAAGACACCAAAAGCGUUAUGGCAGAUAUAUUAUCUGAGUAUGACAUUACUAUUAUGGACUAUCCGCGGCACUACGAGGGUUGCCCUGUGCUCAAGAUGGAGCUCAUUCACCAUUUCUUAAGGUCUGGUGAGAGUUGGCUCUCUCUUGGGCAGCACAAUGUGUUGUUAAUGCAUUGUGAGCGUGGAGGUUGGCCUGUUUUGGCCUUCAUGCUAGCUGCAUUGUUGAUUUUUCGGAAGCUUUAUACCGGGGAGCAACGGACUUUGGAUAUGGUGUAUAAGCAGUCUCCCCGCGAGCUUUUACAUUUGCUGACACCCUUGAAUCCGAUCCCUUCGCAGCUGAGGUAUCUGCAGUAUGUUUCAAGAAGGAAUGUGGCCAUAGAUUGGCCACCGUUGGACAGGGCGCUCAUGUUGGACUGCAUCAUCCUUAGAUUCAUCCCAAAUUUCGAUGGAGAAGGAGGCUGCCAUCCCUUGUUUAGAAUUUAUGGGCAGGACCCUUUUAGUGGAGACAAGAAUCCGAAAAUGUUGUACUCAACGCCCAAGAGAAGCAAGAAUAUCCGGUGUUACAAGCAGGGAGAGAGUGAACUAAUUAAGAUUGAUAUCAGUUGCCAUAUUCAAGGUGAUGUUGUGGUUGAGAGCACUAACUUGAACACUGAUAUGGAGCAAGAAAUGAUGAUGUUCCGAGUAAUGUUCAACACUGCUUUUGUUAGAUCUAAUAUUAUGAUGCUUAACCGGGAUGAAGUUGACAUUUUAUGGGAUGGUAAAGAUCACUUUCCAAAGGAUUUCAGAGCUGAGAUCCUUUUCUCAGAAAUGGAUGCUGCUGCAGCUGUUAUGGUGGAUCGCACCUCAUGCUUCGAGGAGAAGGAAGGACUGCCAGUGGAAGCAUUUGCCAAGGUUCAAGAGAUUUUUAACUAUGUGGACUGGUUGGACCCCAAUGCAGAUGCUGCACUAAAUGUUCUCCAACAGAUGACUGCUUCGGCUAUCAUUAACGACAAGUUGGAUACAGUUUCUGAUCAGCAUGGAGAAAUGGGCACAAUGCCUCAGGGGAAAAUGAGUAAGCAAUCCCCGGAAAAUGAGAAGAGUAAAAAAGGUGACAUGGCCAGCAAAGUUGAUGCUACUCCAAAGGCAUCUGAUAUUUCUUAUUUGCCUGGUUCUAUGGAAGCUUCUUUUUCCCCAGAAACUCCUCCUUUACGGCCUGCCCGAACUAGAUUAGGCAAAACAUUUCAUGAUUCUCUUCCCCAUACAGAAGUCAGUCAUCAACUUGUUAUUGAUGAAACUGAAGCCCAAUUACAAGAUAGAAGUCUGUCACCUAUUUCUAGGUUUGCACCUGAGAGUCAAUCGUCACCUACCUCUUGUAGUAAGUCACCAACUGAUACCAUCACCCUGGCUUCAAAUUCAGGUACUACUUCAGUUCAGCCACCCCCUGCACUUUCUCCCAGAACACCGUUGAAGGAGAUUCCACCUGUAAAAACAAGACUCGAGUCAUCCUCACCGCCUCCACCCCCUCUUCCUCCUACUCCUCCUCCAAAGGAUCAUAAACCAGCUAUAGUUAGACCUCCUCCACCUCCGCCACAUCCUUCAAAGAAUGAUCUACAUGUUAUAGAAGGAACCCCUCCUCCACCAUCACCUGCUUUAAAGGAAGAGCCACAGAUAAAAGCUAGACACCCUCCUCCUCCUCCUCCUCCACCUCCUGCAAAGGAUGAUUCACAGGUUAGAGCUAAAUCCCCUCCACCACCGCCACCACCUCCUUGUCUCUCUGUCAAAGCUGAAGCUCCUAGUACACCAUCAGCAGCACCACCGCCGCCGCUGCCGCCACUGCCACCAUCUGCAUCAUUUCCCUCCAAUAAGCCCAAUCCUUCUGCACCAGCUGCCCCUCCACCUCCUUCUGCACCAACUGCUCCACGACCUCCUUCUGCACCAGCUGCUCCACCACCUCCUGCUCCCUUUGGCAAGGGAGGUUCAAACCCCAGCAAUGGUUUUCCAGGGUCUCUUUCGGAUGGAUCCGGCUCAAAGGGACGGAUUCUGUCACGUACUAUUAGUUCAAAGAAUAAUGGCAAAAAGCUGAAGCCAUUGCACUGGUUGAAACUAUCUAGGGCGGUGCAAGGAAGUUUGUGGGCUGAGACACAGAAAUCGGGUGAAGCUUCCAAAGCCCCAGAGAUUGACAUGUCAGAGCUUGAGAGUCUCUUCUCAGCAGCAGCCCCAAGUUCAGGUUCAACCAAGAAAUCAAAUUCCCAAAGCUCAGUUGGGCCUAAAUCUGAUAAAGUGCAGCUGAUUGAGCAUAGGCGAGCAUACAAUUGUGAAAUCAUGCUUUCAAAAGUGAAGGUGCCAUUGCAUGAAUUAAUGAGCUCAGUGCUAGCACUGGAAGAGUCAGCACUAGACAUUGAUCAGGUUGAGAAUAUCAUAAAGUUUUGUCCUACGAAAGAAGAGAUGGAAUUACUUAAGGGUUAUACAGGGGAAAAGGAGAAGUUAGGGAGGUGUGAACAGUUCUUCUUAGAGUUGAUGCAAGUACCACGGGUAGAAUCCAAGCUCAGAGUUUUCUCAUUCAAAAUUCAGUUCCAAACUCAGGUUGCUGACCUUAGAAAUAACCUGAAUGUUGUGAAUGCUGCAGCAGAUGAGAUCAGAGGUUCUGUCAAAUUUAAGAGAGUUAUGCAAACCAUACUUUCCCUGGGCAAUGCUUUGAACCAGGGAACUGCCAGGGGUUCAGCCAUUGGAUUCAGAUUGGAUAGUCUUCUGAAGCUUACUGAAACACGUGCACGGAACAAGAAGAUGACUCUCAUGCAUUAUCUUUGCAAGGUGCUGGCUGAUAAACUACCAGAAGUUUUAGACUUCUCCAAGGAUGUUGCUAACCUAGAGCCAGCAGCAAAGAUCCAAUUGAAAAUUCUGGCAGAGGAGAUGCAAGCUAUAAGCAAAGGAUUAGAGAAAGUUGUGCAGGAAUUAUCGAUCUCUGAAAAUGAUGGUCCGAUGUCAGAGACUUUCCGCAAGAAUUUGAAAGGGUUCCUCUCUCAUGCUGAAGCUGAAGUCCGUUCAUUGGCUUCACUAUAUUCUCGCGUGGGUAGGAAUGUAGACACGUUGAUUCUUUAUUUUGGGGAAGAUCCAUCACGGUGCCCUUUUGAGCAAGUUGUCAAUACUCUGCUCAACUUCACUGGAAUGUUUAAUAAAGCACAUGAAGAGAACAGCAAGCAGCUAGAGCUUGAAAUGAAGAAAACAGCAGACAGUGACAAAAAGAAGUGUGAACAAGAAAAGAUAAUACCGGCAGCAAUCCGGACCGGCAACGUCCAAUGAGCGGUAAUUGGAUGUAACACUAGCUUCAACAAUCAGAACACACUAAGCAUGACUAGCAAUUUGAUCGGAGAAAAAAUGGUUUCAUGAUUUUGGGGAGUGCAUGUAUAGUGACACAGCACUUUUAGCUCUGACGUUGAGAACCAAAACAUGCAUAGAUGAUAGAACUACAUAUAGCACUGCAAAGGCGAGAUCUUGGUGAUAAUUGAGACAGAAGAUAGCACAGAUUAAUUAAUUAGUGGAGCUUUGCUAACAUAAUUGGAUAAGCAGGCACGUGGGUUGAGGAUGAUAUCACAGCAUUUUUAUACAAAGUCAUACAUCUGAACUAUGAAGCAUCAAACGGCACGUGGUGUGGUGGCGCUGAGGUCACGUGCCUUCAACGUUAUACCUUCUUGUGGGGAUUGCGGUCCCCUCUUCCUCCCAUCUCAUAUAAUACCAACAAGAAUGAUUAAAAACCAAGAGGUCAUUUGUCUAAAUUAAUUAAAAGCAGUGCUUCAAGCUAUUGUUAUUAUUACUAUUCUUUUUCACUUUUUCACCUUCCCAAUUCAUCCAUGCCUAUCCCAAAAAAAGUUGACUUAUGUAGUUAUGCAACCUCUUACUCUUAAAAAAGAAGGCUUAAGCUUUUGCUUCUCCCAUUUUAAUGCUUAACCGAUAAAGAAAAGUAAAAAGAAACAUCUUGUGUAAUGUGUGUAUUUAUACAUUUGUUUUUUAGUGUACAAAAAAAUUUCUCAUUUA
Arachis duranensis is the source of this 4422-nucleotide RNA transcript. It is a transcript of the gene named formin-like protein 13, with no coding region annotated. The record is from RefSeq and is a predicted model, not a curated record. NCBI's taxonomy places the organism in Eukaryota, Viridiplantae, Streptophyta, Magnoliopsida, Fabales, Fabaceae. The transcript is spliced from 18 exons.